GAAGUAGCUGCUGUCGCUGCUGCUGUUUCUGGCGCUGAAUUGACAGCGACAGCAGCAGUAGCUGUGGCUGUACUUGCUGAGGCAGGUGCAGGAGGUGAUGUUGAUGUUUGUACUGACGAAUCAGCAGAUGCAGCCGCAGCCGAU
Non-coding RNA from Fusarium venenatum, 144 nucleotides. The record is from RefSeq and is a predicted model, not a curated record. Lineage: Eukaryota; Fungi; Ascomycota; Sordariomycetes; Hypocreales; Nectriaceae.